AUACUUACCUGCCACAGUGAAUACCACGUUCAAGAUAGGAGCCUCCAAGGUGAGGCUCUUCCAUUGCACAGUUUGGUUGUAUUGACCCCUGUGAUUUUCCUGAAUGUGGGAAACUCAACUGCAUAACCUAUGGUACUGGGGACAGUGUCCUCGUAGUCUCCU
This is a small nuclear RNA of Protopterus annectens (West African lungfish), 162 nucleotides long. RefSeq annotates it as U1 spliceosomal RNA. Lineage: Eukaryota; Metazoa; Chordata; Ceratodontiformes; Protopteridae. The record is from RefSeq and is a predicted model, not a curated record. The transcript has a single exon.